RNAcentral lists this ribosomal RNA (502 nucleotides) under uncultured bacterium. RNAcentral's name for it is "partial 16S ribosomal RNA". It matches the Rfam family "Bacterial small subunit ribosomal RNA", at positions 28 to 507 of the family's 1533-position model. The record is from RNAcentral.
GACGAUCGCUGGCGGCGUGCCUAAUACAUGCAAGUCGAACGAACCGCGACUAGGUGCUUGCACUUGGUCAAGGUGAGUGGCGAACGGGUGAGUAACACGUGGGUAACCUACCUCAUAGUGGGGGAUAACAGUCGGAAACGACUGCUAAUACCGCAUAGGACAUAGGAUCACAUGAUCCAGUGAGGAAAGGUGGCGCAAGCUAUCGCUAAAAGAUGGACCCGCGGUGCAUUAGCUAGUUGGUAGGGUAAAGGCCUACCAAGGCGAUGAUGCAUAGCCGACCUGAGAGGGUGAUCGGCCACAUUGGGACUGAGACACGGCCCAAACUCCUACGGGAGGCAGCAGUAGGGAAUCUUCCGCAAUGGACGCAAGUCUGACGGAGCAACGCCGCGUGAGUGAAGAAGGUCUUCGGAUCGUAAAGCUCUGUUGUUAGAGAAGAACAGCGCAUAGAGUAACUGUUAUGCGUGUGACGGUAUCUAACCAGAAAGCCACGGCUAACUACGUG